UAAAAUACCUCUCGGCCAAGAGAGUUUCAAAGAAAACCUCUCGGCCAAGGAAGAAUUCACCCAAGUGAAUCCCUACCGAGAGUCUAAUGAAAAACCUCUCUGCCAUACACUGAAGCGCGUUGGAUCCUUCGUCCAAUAGGUCCAAUAGAAAGGGAACCUGGGAGUUUCGCCGUCAAAGAAAAAUGGCCGGCCUUCCUCCUCAACGACAACUUUAAAGAAACCACCUUUAAAGUUCUUAUAAGAAGUUGUGUAAGGAGCAAAGAAGCUAUUAUUCGCUUGACCAACCAAAGAAACCCAACCUAUUCGGUCACCCGGCCUUGUACCAAAGAAAUGUAAAAAAGACCUGGCGGUCACUUUAACACUUAACACCUCGCACAAUAUUCGAAAAGCCUGGAGUGAUGCCCAGCUAUUCGGAUGAAGUUGUGAAGGUGCUACGUUUAAAAUACGCAAUACUUCCAUGGUGAAAGUAUCGAAAGGAAAGCGGACAUGGAUAUUCGAAAUCAAACAAGAAUAAAAAUAAAAGAAAUCUUUAUGCUCCCUCCCCCUUCCCAAACACACGGUCUCGAACUCUCGACACCUACGGAGUGCGAAGGCACCAUUAGGCACGCCCUCUAACACAAUAUCCACACUCUCCACAAAAUCUUGGAGUAGGGAAACCUUUGUGAACUCCGAAAACUCCUCACGGACUUUCUCAUUAACCCACAGAUACUCGGUCUCUUGGGUUUCUUCACCCUCAUACCCACUCGAUUGAGACACCGCCGGUUUUGUAUACUCUCGGCUCAGAGGAUCGACUGCAUGGGAAGAACCUUCCACAUCCUCGGCAUCUCUAGAAACAACAUUUGCGGCCAAUUGCCCCCCAUCACUCACACUCCCGGACACAGACGAAAAUAAGUUGGUAAUCGAAAGAGAAGGCAUCGUUACCUCCGAAAGGCUCUUCACUCGAUAAGUCAAGAUUGCAAAGGCCAAUAACUCGACUCUCGAGCUUUCGGAGCUAGCUCACGGAUCACACGAAUAUGAAUUUAUGUGUUAUUGUACUAAUGUCAAUAGAAAAUGUGAAUAAUACAUAACUAUAUAUUAAAGUUUAAAAAGUGAACAAAUAUAUUAAAUUAAAUAAUAUAAAUAAAACAAUGAGAAAGUAUAAUUUAGUUAUAAGAUAAUAUAAUCUAUAGUGUAAAAGACAAAACAGAUAUUGUAUAAUAUGUAUCAAUUGUCUAAAUAUAUAAAGAGCUCUGUUUUGAUCUGUAAUCAUUUCAUUUUCUACUAAGUUUUUUCUAUGUUUAUUCUCUACACCAUAUUUUUUCUAUACAAGACACACAAUUGAUAUAAAAUAUCUAAAAUAAUUGAUAUAACGAACGUACUCUCUCAUUCAAAAACCACAAAUGGAAUAAAAGAAAAAACUUGAAGAAGAGAAACUCAAAGCAUAUGAAAUAAAAUAUUGACUAAUCAAAUUAUCAUUUUUCUUUUACAUGUUAUUUUAUGUUUUUCAAUUUUAAUUCUUCCAAAAAUAUUUCUUCAUGUAUGUUAUAAUUUUACAUAAUUAUAUAAAAUAAUAAUAAUAAUAAAAAUAAAUACACAUUAAUAACAAAAAUAAAAAAUGCGGAUACACAGACACAAGAGCUUAUGUGUAUAUGCUAGUAUAUAUAAACAAAACAAACAAACAAAAUUUGUCGAAAUUGCAGUUAUGAUAAGGAAAAUAUUAUAUGAUAACUGAUAUAUUUCUUAAUAUAAUGGAUAAAAUCGAAAAUAUAUGAAAUAUGCAAAUUUGAAUGAUUUGAGGAAACUACCUAACUCCGACUAAAUCUAAAUGAUAAUGAUAAGUAGAUAAGAAGUAUAAUGAUGCGAGAAGAGUUCUAUAUAUUAAAAAAAUAAUUAAAGUAAAAAUUUAAUUAUCUUAUUCGUCCUUACAUUUAGUUAAGAUUAAUAUUCAAUGUUCAAUUUUGUAUAGUGGUUUAUAAAAAAAAAUCAAUUUAGUCUUAUGUCUUUUAAAAUGUAAAAACAUCAUUAACUAUUAAUGAUGUGGAAUCACAUACACUAAUAUUGAUAUGUCUGGGUGUGAAGAAAUAAAGGUUUAGGGAUAGAGUUUAUGGUUUAUGAUGUAGGGUUCAGGGUUCAAAGUUUACAGUUUAGGGUUUACUUACAUCUCUAUGAAUGCAUGUCCCAAUGCUUAAUUCACUUUCUAUCCUAACACAAGUAUAACAACUUUAUGCUAACUUAAGCUUGAAAGUAAUAACUUAUUUACCUGACUGAACACCUUGACUGAAUGUCUACCCUCAAAUAGCGACGCCUUCAUGGUUAGAAUAAAUUUUUUUAUAUUUAUGAUCAAACACUUUACAAGAAAAAUUACAUUUAGCCGCAAAGAAAAGUGACGACGCACUUGUGGACACUAAAUAGUAUGAGCUUGGCCUUCACAAUUAAAGAAAAUAAAAUAAAGUGUGGGAAAGCAUGAGUUAUACUUACGCAAACUUAAAAAUAAAAUAAAAAAAAUUAAUAAUAAUAAAAUUGAAGGUUAAGCCCACGCUAUCUCUAUUUUAAAUUUUGAAGGCUUAGCCCCCGCUAUGAUUUUAAAAUUAAAUUUAAAUAAACCAUUUGUGAAAGUCAAAAUAUUCAACUACGGUUCCAUUUUUGGGGCGUAAACUAUUUGAGCAACUGAGAGAGCAUUUGAGCAUUUGGAACGUGAUUGAGCAGUGGAGCAUUUGAGCAUUUGGAACGUGACCAUGAACGUGAUUGAGCAGUGGACCGUGAGCAUUCGAGCGAGAGCGAUGGAGCGAGAGUGAUUGAGCGAGCGCGAUUGAGCGAGCGAGAGCGAUUGUACUCACAGGGAGUUUCCUUUCUCCUUUCUUAAUCUUUCGCACUAACCCUAAUUUCUCGAUUUCAGAUUGUGUUUGCUGAUAAUAUCCAGUGAUUGUUGCUAGAAGUCUGAGGGCAACGCUUGUGAUACCUGACAUCAGAGGAAGCCAACCUGCCUGGUGAUAGAAGGUUAGUGCUGAAUUUUAUUCUGUGUUUGAUGUUGCAUCCUGUGUUUGAAGUUGAAUAAGAUUAGGCUAGGUUUCACAAAUGUCCACAGCUUCCAACCCAUAUCCACUAGGAUACCGAGGAGCCACUUGCUUCUCAUUCUCAUAACCCUGCUCUCCACUGUAUCCUUCACCAAACCCACUUCCAACACUAGACUCAACAUAGAAAUCAUCUUCAUGGUCACUUUCUUCGGUCACUUCCAAAAAAUAAAAGAACCUUGGCUUCUCUAAAAGCAUAUUCUUCAUGAUGGAAAAUAAAAUAGAAGAAAGAGUAGAAAAAAAAGGAACAGAAAGUUCAUAGAAGUAAGAUUAGAAUAAUUUAAAAGUAAUAAAAAGUACGAAAAAACAGAGAGAAUGGAGAAGAGAAAGAGACCGACUGGGAAUACUAUGAUAAUAAAAUAAGAGGAUUAAAAUGAUGAUGCAGAUGGGAAUAGUAAUAAACUGUGACGGUUUUGGAGAAAUGGGAUAGAGAGAGUGAAGAGAAAAGAGAAUGAUUGUGAUGAGAGAAAAAGAAAGCAGUAGAACAAUAAACUUGGAACUUGCAAUAAAAACACACUUAACCUAACCUUUAAGUAAUUGUAAGUGAAGGGAUGAUUAGAGUGGAAGACAAAUAACAGUAAGCAAUAUAUUGGUUAUAUAUGGUGAAGAAAAGGAUAAUCGGCAAUAUAUUGGUUAUUUAGGCUAUUCUAUAUACUCCCUUGCAGGCACGAUCCUCUUGGUGUAGGUAAUUGGUGCUGCUGGAGACACAGAUUAAGUGGGGGAGAACAAGCCUCAAGCAGCUGGAUGUCUUUUUUUUUUUUUCAGUUUGGUGCCUUGGAGUAGCAGCCCUGCAGGUAUUGGUGUGUAGCUUUAGUGAGCAGGACUAGGAGAGUGCACCACCUUUGUUUCUGCUGUUGCCUAGAUUGAUCUUAGGUGUGAGGCUCUCAUGUCUGGUAAUUUUGAGUGAAGCCGCUGGUUGUUGUGGAGGUAGGUUCUGCUCAAUGAGAAGUUUUGGUGAGGUGUUCUUGGAAAAGUGGAUGCUAUUACAACACAAUUAUAUCUGCUCUGUAAUGAUGUUGCUGUCAUAGUUUUUUGAGUCUUUGCUGUUUGGAGACUCGGAAUUGAUUGUGGUGAUUUGUUCAUUCUCUUCUACUAGAUCUUGAAGCUACCGAUUUUGUUAUGUUGGUUAAGGGCUUCUUGUCUAGUAUGAAUGGUGUUUUGCUGGAAUGUGUGGUUGCUCUUAAGUUGUUUUUAGGAAGGGAAGCUGCAUUGUUCUGUAGUUUUCAUUUUGUGAGCCUUUUAUGUGCUCUUUAGUGCUCAAGAACCUAAGGUAUUUUGUAAUAGUGACAACACUAGAGUUUUCUUUUUCAAAUUUCUAAUAGCAUCUAACUUGUUGUUUUGGGUAUUUUUUACCAUUAAUUUCAAAGUUAUUGUUAUUAAUAUGUAUUCCUAUUAAAUAAAGAUGUUCCUAAUAAUAAAUAUAUAAUCUAGAUAUUCCUGAUUAUAAAAGUUUGCACCUUAUAUAAUUCUGACUAUUUGUUCCUGGGUUCACUCUGGCACACUGCAUGCAACAUAUAACAUACUAAAAGUGCCAUCUAGAAGAUCUGAAUAGUACCAAUUCAAAUAAAGCAUUUCGUUAAAUCUCUUUCUUUCAUGGACUAGAAUGAAAAAUCAC
This 4665-nucleotide long non-coding RNA is filed under the name Phaseolus vulgaris (common bean). RNAcentral describes it as "long non-coding RNA (PVUL_LNC004280)". Lineage: Eukaryota; Viridiplantae; Streptophyta; Magnoliopsida; Fabales; Fabaceae. The record is from RNAcentral.